CCAGAAUACGCCUUCCUUCGUCUCGCAAAUAUUGACUCACUCACAUUUCACAUGCCGGAACAGACGUGGAACCGGAUCUGGCUGCUUCAGCCCAGCAACGCGAGUCGAAAAGCGCACAACACGAUGGCAACUAAAUGACAAAAUUAUUCACCGUAACCGAAAGCCGUGUCACCGUGGCUGCACCGACCACCGAUUCCGAAACCUUAAAGCUGCAGUUCUCGGUACGUUCUUCGGCACGUAAGAACCUUUGUGAGGCCACUUUUCCCCCCACCGGAAGCGACACCCGGGAGCAGAUUAUUCAAAGAAAAGCACACCCGCACCCGUCGUACAGAGCGGAAACACUCCCUUAGCACACCGGCAUCCGGCGGCAGUUCGGCGGGAGGGAGCGAACGCUGCUGUUGCAACUGCUGUGCCAAACGCAAAACGCCAGUUGACAGUAAAUGCAAUGUGCCAAACAUCAUCGUGGCAGCAGCAGGAAACAGGAUUCCGGGACAGCGCAGAACGCUGGAGCGCUAGGCUAUAGCUGAAGCUUCUACGGCAGUGCACUAUUGACUAGCUUUUCUUUCAUGUCAAGACAUUUAUGAUGAUAUCGGAAAUUCUCUUCACUUCAAAGAAACAUGAACUUACCGGAUUCGAAUAAAAAGGGAAAAAAUAA
Anopheles stephensi (Asian malaria mosquito) is the source of this 655-nucleotide long non-coding RNA. RefSeq lists it as uncharacterized. NCBI's taxonomy places the organism in Eukaryota, Metazoa, Arthropoda, Insecta, Diptera, Culicidae. The record is from RefSeq and is a predicted model, not a curated record. The transcript is spliced from 2 exons.